This is a non-coding RNA of Roseovarius halotolerans, 57 nucleotides long. The record is from Rfam. Lineage: Bacteria; Pseudomonadati; Pseudomonadota; Alphaproteobacteria; Rhodobacterales; Roseobacteraceae.
CGCCAUCAUCAUACCUCCCUGUUGGACUUUGGCCGAGCUUAGUGCUCGGCCUUUUUU